Molecule: ribosomal RNA, 660 nt
Filed under: uncultured bacterium
Lineage: Bacteria
Description: bacterial SSU rRNA
Rfam family: Bacterial small subunit ribosomal RNA
Source: RNAcentral
AGUGGCGGACGGGUGAGUAACGCGUGAGAAUCUGCCUUGGGGUCGGGGACAACCACUGGAAACGGUGGCUAAUACCGGAUAAGCCGAUUGGUGAAAGAUUUAUUGCCCGAAGAGGAGCUCGCGUCUGAUUAGCUAGUUGGUGAGGUAAGAGCUCACCAAGGCAGCGAUCAGUAGCUGGUCUGAGAGGACGAUCAGCCACACUGGGACUGAGACACGGCCCAUACUCCUACGGGAGGCAGCAGUGGGGAAUUUUCCGCAAUGGGCGAAAGCCUGACGGAGCAAGACCGCGUGAGGGAGGAAGGCUCUUGGGUUGUAAACCUCUUUUCUCAGGGAAGAAGCUCUGACGGUACCUGAGGAAUCAGCCUCGGCUAACUCCGUGCCAGCAUCCGCGGUAAUACGGAGGAGGCAAGCGUUAUCCGGAAUUAUUGGGCGUAAAGCGUCCGCAGGUGGCGAUUCAAGUCUGCUGUCAAAGCACGGGGCUUAACUCCGUAAAGGCAGUGGAAACUGAAUAGCUAGAGUGCCGUAGGGGUAGAGGGAAUUCCCGGUGUAGCGGUGAAAUGCGUAGAGAUCGGGAAGAACAUCGGUGGCGAAAGCGCUCUACUGGACGGCAACUGACACUCAGGGACGAAAGCUAGGGGAGCGAAUGGGAUUAGAUACCCC